AUGUUUUACUUUAACAAGCUGCAUAAUAUGGCUCUUGCUGAAGGUGGAGAUGUGCGUUUACAUCUGAUGGAGAUGCAAAAUCUGAGACAUGAGCUGCAACAGAGAGGACUCAACUUUCCAGAGGCUGUGUAUUCUUUCAUGAUACUACAAUCUUUGGGUUCAGGUUGGGAGUCUGUUGCAACCCAGAUUGCUGUGCAGCCAACAGCUCAGCUGACAGUGGACUUUGUUACUGCCGUGGUUUUAAAUGAAGCGGAUCGCCGGGGUGCUAGCUGCAUGGGCAAGGGGGAGUCUUCACAGACGUCAUCCCAUAGUGCAGUGGAACCACCAGAUGGCGCCAAAGCUUUGAAGGCAGUGAAAUGCUACUCAUGUGGACGUCUAGGCCAUAUAAAGAGGGAAUGCAGAUAUCCCAAGGCCAAGACAGAGCAGCGCAGCGAAAGCUCAUCGCGUGGAAAAGGCCGAGGCAAAGGCAAAGGUCCGGUGUCUAGGACAACGCAGCACAAGGCUAUGGUUUCACGCUUCACUCCAAAGGUUGCAGAGGUCCAGAAGACGUCUAGAUCUUUCUUCGUUGUUGAUUCAGCGGCAACUCACCACAUGUGCAACGAUAAGAGACUGUUUGUGUCUUUUACACCGCAGGAAGGUGCGAUUCACCAGGCGGAUGACCACACGAUUCCCAGUAAAGGCUACGGAACUGUUGUUCUUCACAGUUUGGACUUAUCGAUACAGAAUGUCCUAUACGUGCCAGACGCCAAACAUAAUUUGCUCAGCGUUGGACAGCUGAAUGAGCGGAACAUUGACGUUUCUUUCAAGAACAAGAAGUGCAUCAUCACAAAGAAAAAUGAUUAUGUAUUGCAUGCUGAAUAUGUUGAUCGCUUGUUUGUUUUGUAUUAUGAUGAUGUUGUGCAGGAUGACACUUGUUGCAUUGCAGGUUCUAACAAAAGUUUGCAUGCAGGAUGCAUUCAUGAUUUUCAUCGAAAAUUUGGUCAUUUGCAUUUUGAGGCAGUAUCUAAGAUGCCUGCCUUGGUUGAAGGUAUGACUAUUAAACCCUGCAGGUACCACAUGAAGUGCAAAGCAUGCGCAGCAAACAAGGUGAAAAUGGCUGCGAAAGGUAAGGUGUCUAGUAGGCAAGCU
This 1128-nucleotide long non-coding RNA is filed under the name Podarcis muralis (Common wall lizard). RNAcentral's name for it is "lncRNA (ENSPMRG00000019070.1)". The record is from RNAcentral. Lineage: Eukaryota; Metazoa; Chordata; Lepidosauria; Squamata; Lacertidae.